This 464-nucleotide ribosomal RNA is filed under the name uncultured bacterium. RNAcentral describes it as "bacterial SSU rRNA". It matches the Rfam family "Bacterial small subunit ribosomal RNA", at positions 28 to 521 of the family's 1533-position model. The record is from RNAcentral.
GAUGAACGCUAGCAGAACGCCUAACACAUGCAAGUCGAACGAACCAGCAAUGGUUAGUGGCAAACGGGCGAGUAACGCGUAUCUAACCUACCCUUGAGUGAGGCACAACUACAGAGAUGUAGCUAAUUCCUCAUACGUUCUAGAGAAUGAAAAUAUCUAGAAGAAAGAUUUAUCGCUCAGGGAGGGGGGUGCGUCCUAUCAGGUAGUUGGUGAGGUAAUAGCUCACCAAGCCUAUGACGGGUAGCCGGUCUGAGAGGAUGUCCGGCCGCAAUGGAACUGAGAACGGUCCAUACUCCUACGGGAGGCAGCAGUGGGGAAUAUUGGACAAUGGGCGAAAGCCUGAUCCAGCGAUUCUGCGUGAAGGAUGAAGCCUUAUGGGGUGUAAACUUCUUUUCUGGGGGAAGACGGAAUGGACGGUACCUCGAGGAAUAAGAGACGGCUAACUACGUGCCAGCAGCCGCGGU